RNAcentral lists this long non-coding RNA (6935 nucleotides) under Taeniopygia guttata (zebra finch). RNAcentral describes it as "lncRNA (ENSTGUG00000029113.1)". Lineage: Eukaryota; Metazoa; Chordata; Aves; Passeriformes; Estrildidae. The record is from RNAcentral.
GAAAAAUAAUUGUUUCUCCAGCACCUUCUGAAGAAGACCCACUUUCCUGCACAAGCCAAACCAGCUAAGACAGUAAGGAUCUGACGAAUCCUAAAAGAACAGAAUGUCUUGUUCAUUUACAUACAGUAAACACAUGUUUCAUCCAAACACAAUUGUGAAAUAGUUUUGAAAUCCUUCUUUCAUUGCAGUUUGGAGAUUGUUGGCUAACAAGACUCCCAGAAGGUUUUAUUGUCUCUUGUUUACAUGGGAGGAUCAAAUUACAAAAAAAAAAUGUUUUGGAAAUAUAAUUUGUGUUUUGUUUCCGGAGUGCUUUAUUUCCGUUGAUCUAGUAUUUCUAAGAUUAAGCAUCAGGAACCUCCAGGAUCCUUCCAGCACAAACUUAUGCUUUAAAGAAAGACAUGCAUAAAAUCUGGCACACAUAAUGAUAGUCUGUCUUUAUCACCACAGUCGAGAUAAAAUUUAGAAGCUGGAAACACGGCUGUCUAGCAGUCAUAAUUCUGUCUGCAUUUAUCUGGCACCAGCUUCCCUUACUCCUUAUUAUGAUUCAUUCUCCAUUUAAUUCUCCAAAUAUUUUCUUAGAUUGAGUACCUGUAGUACUAAUGCCUGACAUGCAGAGUAAUUCUAAUUCUGGCCACUUAUGACAGUAGGUGGAGGCUUUGCAAGACUUCACAGAAUCAAAUCCAAAAGACAAAACUGGCACAGAUUGUAAAGUCAUCAUGGCAGCAGCAAAAUGAAUUUCCAUGAAAAGAUGUCUUGGAGAAAAGUCUGCGUACGUCAGGAAGCAAAAUCUCAAAGUUUUCCAGCAAUGGAUGCUGCAGAGCAUUCAAGGAAUCAAGGCAUGCCCAAAGGAAAACCAAAACAAACCAAAACUAAUCAGGCUAGAUAUAAGCCUUUACUUAAAAUACAGAGUUUAGUUUUGAAAUAGAUGUAAGUAUAACAAGCUUGGUGGUCUCUCCUGGAUGCCUGGGGGUCAGGGAAAGCCACACCAUCAGAACCUGGUCUGACAGAGGCCAACCCUUGUGUACUCUGCCGAGAGUGUUACAGCACAAAGAGAGUAAAACUGGGAAGGAGGCAGGAGAUGCAGCAAGGCACAACAUUUUUCAUCUUCAGAAGUAAUGCUUUGUAAUUCCUGCAAUGAAUUGCACUGAUGAGCUUGAAGAGAUCUGUUAAUGAAUUCCUUAACUCACAUAAUAUCCUUCUGUCAUAGCAGUAUUAAACUGAUGCACAAACAAGUAAACUGAGAAGCUGUGGAAGCCCAACAGGAUGAGGGAUGAAGCAGCACCUCCCAUCCUGAGCAUGACCUCAGGAACGUGCACACCAGCGUCAUCAGGAGCAAGACAACUGGGCCAAUGCUCCCCUCUCCCCUUCCAUUCCUCUCCUGCUCAUCUGUUCCCCUCUGGUCCUGCAAAUUCCAGCUUUUUGCUUUUGGUUGGCUGUAAACCAGAGUGGGUCAGAGCACCUACAAUAUGGUUUAGUGAGCAUGGCACCAACCUUUGAGCAUCAAUGGUCCCUGAAGUAUGUGUGUAUUAUGAGAAAAUCUACCCCAGUCUAGCUCAUGGCCACACCAGCCAGUUAUCAUAAUCAGCAUUCAAAAAUCCCAAACUAGAACAAUAUCAAUGUGGUAAAAGAAAUAAUUUUAUGAUUUGCCUUUACCCAGAGACUAUAUCAUAAAAUCAGCACCAAAAUUCAUUUGUUUCUACUUAAAUUUUAAUCCUGUGCUUCCUUUUCUUUGUGAAUAAAACAUCCACUAAGUAUUGAGGGAACAUCAUGAGUCAGAGGAAGCUUGCAUGGGGCUCUCAGUGUGCAGUACAGUACUAUUGUUUUAAAGUCAUCAGCUUGGGAAGGCUAUCACCACAUUUGGAAUGACUUCCAAAGCCACAAAAAGUAGAAUUUAGCCACGACUAGCCCUUUCUGUCUACUAAACAUAAUUGCAAGACUGAUUAUUUUUAUAUUAUUUUUAUUUGUAAUAGUAAUCAGGAAUGAAACGAUGGAAACUGUAGCACAGUUACGGUGUAUGCAGAAUCAAUGAUGGAUCAUAUACAAAAAUUAUUUUGAUCAUUCAAGACAAGUGGGAGCCAAGCAAAUCAGAAAGACAUAAGAAUUUUCAACACUUGGUCUGUAUGUGCAGGUCCUUACAGAAGAACAGUAAUUUAAAAAUCUGUUACUGUCUGCUACAAUUUCACACUUGAGAAAUUGGUGUCAAUAUUUUUUUCUGGAAAGGACCUUGUGUUGUGAGUCAGUAUUUGAUUCAAAGUGUACUUAAUUAGAGUAAAUCAUUGCUGCAAAUUGCAAUGAGUUGUAAUUCAGAUAGAAAUAAUGAAACUCAAAAGUAGUUUGAUUUCUAGCUCAUGAUCAGCUUCAGAGGUGCUUUCUAAAAGAGGUCAUUCCAGGAAGUCCUUAAGGGAGUACUGGGGUUAAAGAUAGUCUAAGAUUUUCUAAAGGGUUUUUUUUUAUUGGCAAGAGGUAGAAAAGUCAAAUCAAAGAGUCUCUUUUUGUCACAGAAAUAUUCUCAGUACAAAAGCUUCACUCAGAGAAAACAGUGUGGAUAUGUACUCAUUCCCUAGCAGAUCAGAUGUGUGGAACUGGCCCUAUUGUCAAUAAAAAUCUUUCCUGACAAUGGCUGCAAUUUACUACUUCUCACAGCCGAGAAACCGUGUGGCUAGAGGGACUAGUAUGGGCAGAUGGAGCUCCUGUCUGCAUACUUCCAUUAUUAUUUUACUGUACCUAUAUUAAACAACCCCAAAAUUUCAACCCUGGUUGUAGUCAUAUUCAAAAGAUAAAGGUUAGGCCCUAAAUUCAAAAUUAUUUUCAAAGAAAAUAAAAGCUGGGAGGUUUUCAUUAUACCUCUCUUGUUUUACUUUUUACACGGUGUUAACACUGUGCAACAACUUCACCAUGGACUUACUGAACCAUAGACUCAUUUGCAAUGCAGCAGCUCAGCAGCAAUUCAUUUCUGCUUUACUUAAACUCUAAUAUUUUUUUUUUAGCCUGGCAGGACAGAAAUAGAGCCCCAUUCUAUUUUAGAGACAUAACAGAGAAGGCCACUUAUUGCACAUGCCUCAAAAACUGGCUAGUUUUGACUAACACCAUAAUAUUGUGCAGAUCUAGGCAUUUUAUCUCCCCUGCUGGAAUAAUUUCAGAUUUACCUUUAGUUGAUCUACCACUCUUGGAGCCUUAGCUGUACAGAUAAUUGUAGCCUGUGAGCAAAAAUUAAAACAGGGUAAAACUACACAGAAUGCCAACCAUAAUAUGAAAGGAAGCCUUCAACUUAACUUCUCAUCUCUGUGGCACAUGAGAAUAUCUUGUCCCUGCAGGGGGUGUGACACACACCAUGUACAUCAAAGCCAAAGAUGGAUCACCCAGUAGGUUCUGAAAUGAAAGAGGCACCAUAUCACUGCUGAUUGCUCAUGGUCACUCCACAAAAAUCUCUGUUCAGUAUUAUCCCUUUUAUUAUUUUUAUUGUAAGAAAAAGAGAACACUGAAGAGGGAGCACUUGCAAUAUCCCAUCUGGGAAACAGCAGCUUUGUGGGUGCUGGGUGCUCAAGCUCACCCAAGACUGAGCUCAUCCAAGUAACCCUUGCUGUAAGCUUUCCCAACCCUGUUUUAUAUAGAAAUGUUCAGUUCCUUCCCUUCUUGUUAAGCUUCUUUUUUGCUUGGUUUAACAGCCAAGCAGCCUAACCUAACCCAGGGACAGCUGUGUUGCACACCAGAGAGGGCACAGAACAGUUGGGUGACAAGACCAGGCAGACACAGGCCAGAGCAGCCGUGCAGGAUUGCUCUGUGCCUGUGCCCUGUGGGAGGCAGGCAGGGCACAGAGACAGGCUCUGCUCUGGCCUAACAGCUGGCUCGUGCCUAAGAGCGGACCAAAGCCUCACACAAAAUAAUUCAUAUCAAGGACCAUGGGGAAUUGUCUUUCUUGAUACAUGAUGCUUGGUUCUUAUGUUUUUUGGGUUCAAUACCUACUAAUAAUCUCUUCAGUAAUUUGCUAGAGUAGCCUCUGAAUACUCUAGGCUUCUUUAUGGUUUUACUUGUUUUUCAUCUUAUUCACAUUGCUUUUUCUCUUUGACUUUCUGUUUUUCAGUGUUUGUUAUGGUAUCACAGGCGUCACCCAGAAAUCAGUGCCUCACUCAGGCGUUACAUAACAGUUACAGCAGAUAUUGCUGAGGUUUCCCACUGUUUACAAAUCAAACUCGGUUUGCUCUUCAUGUUUUCCAGUACACAAUUGUCAGUUUACAAAUGAAAACUGAGUCAUUUUUGCCAAGCCAUCAUCUUUCCACUCGCUGUAUCCUAGUCCCAAGUGACAGGGAGCACACAGCAAGAGCAGCCUCACCAGAAAGGGCAGAAAUCGGCUGCUGUCAAAGAGGGAAGUUGUUUUAACUUGAUGUAAGUGGUUAUGAAGUUAUUUCAAUGCUACUAAUAAGUCUUUUAAUUUAGCAGUGUUGAUGCAGGGUUAUUUUUUAAACUGGUUGUUUUCCUUUCAAUUUUCAACAUCCAUUACUAAGACCUAAAUCUUUGGCCACGGUAAACUCACUUCUCUGACUUCCCUAAAAUUACACAUGCUGUGGCCUCCACCCCAAAUCUACAGCCAUGCAUUUAUAAAUGAUGCUUUCAAUUAAAGUUUAAAAGUGAAAAAAGCUGGUUUGGUUUUGCUUUUGCCUCCUGUAUCCUAACCUGAAGGUGUCACAGAGCAAUUGGGUAGUGAUCCUGAGCAACUAACUUCUGGGCCAAAUCCCAUCUCUUUCCUGAAGAUUUACCUCUCUUAGUCUGUCCUUUGCCAGCCCUGGCAUGGUCCUUCUAUGUGCAUGUGCUUUGGAAAAGGGGCCAGGUGACACAGAGGGGAAGAAAUGUGGGUUAUGCAGAGCAUUAUUCUCUUGAUGUCAGAAUUUCCCAGUGUACGCUGUAGAGCCAAGGACCUGUUUCUCACAUAUCACAGCUCUCCCUCUAAAAAUUUAAAGCCAUGAGCAAUAAUUUUCUUACUCAAUACUUUUCCAGGCCAUGGUAGAAGAGUCUGUCCAAAGAACCAGUGUGUGAAUCUGCUCGCAGACACCCCUUCACUCGCUCCUGUGUAUUUCCAAAGGGGACAGAAAUGAUGCAGCACCAGCACCACUACCCUGCCCUUUGGGUGAUGGAUGUUAGCAGUCAUAAAUAAUCACUGAAUCCACGAGCACUAAGAGGAGCUCAUUCCUCUGCAGUCCCAAUAGUGUGUCACACCAUGAUCCAUUGCUGUGUCUCAUAGAAAUGAAUUGGCCUUUUCUCUUUUUGUUCCUCCACAUUACCAGCCAUUAGCAUUUCCCUGCAAUGGAUUUUAUAAUCAGGUUAGGUGACUAUUCUUCACAGGAUUGGUUUCAGACUUUCCAAGGCACAGUGGAGGAGGAAGGUUGUCACACAGAGAGCUUCACUAUUGCUGUAAUGCCUUCCAGGCUGCAGUGAACUGAAAUGUUUUCAUUUUAACAGCUUACCUUUGAAAGAGCAAUUUCACCUUCUGAGUUGCUAAUGAAAUAACUACAAUCGUGCCAAACUGAGGCUCAUACUGCACUCUAAAAAGAGACAAGGACCAGCUGUGUUUGACAUUUUGGCUUCCACUUACAAAAGGGUUUCCUUCUCAGCUCCCAGAUCUUUGCACGAAUAAGCAAAGCUGCAAUUGCACAGCUUUGAGACCCCAGCAUCCUUGUGUGUUAUGCAUUUUUCUCAGGGUUUGCCCUGAGGCUGCAUGGAGGAAAAGUAAAAAGUGACAGAUUGAAAUAGAUGUCUUGAUACUGUUCUUUAAGAUGAUGACAAGAUGUUUGAAGUUAAAUGUGACCAGUUCAGGGACAUUGAACAUUCACUCCACCUGAAUGCUUUGUUUGGUUAAGGUUUUGCUUUGUUUUCUUUACUUUCCAAACUUUUACUUUUACUUUCCAAACUUUUACUUUUACUUUCCAUAGUCAUCCAUACUUGGAUGACUAUGAAGUCAUCCAAGAAGCCUUGGAUGACUUCAUAGGAUCUUACAAAAAAAAAAAAACAGCUCCACUUUACACCCAUACAAUAACUGUAUUAAUGAAAUUUUUCCCUUUUCUACUGUGAUAAAACCAUUCAGCAUCAUCCUUAUCAAUUUCCAUGUUGCACUAAACUACCUUAGAGAGGAAAAAUAAAUUGCUCCAAGUAUUUUGCCAUUAAAAGUAACCAAAUGGGGCUUUAGGUCACAGCAGUGUUUUAUCUGAGUGACUCAUUUCAAUCUUCCUGACACACACUUCACUCUCUUCUCUGUUGUGCCUGAGCAGAACUGUUAAUGGGCCUUUGCAAAAGAUCUUUAACAUUUCCUAAUGUAUUUCCCCUGCUCCUCACCUCAUUUUAUUCCUUUUCAAAUUAUUUCUUCUUGUACAUACUCAGAACAUCUUGUGAACUUUUGGUUUCUGUGUUCAUCAGUGACACACAUGGCUGAAAUGCACUCAUUUGACAUUCUGCCCCAACCACUGACAUCCAAUAGGCAGCCAUACCCUGCUGCAUGCAACUGUCGGAAGAUGAUCAAUUGCAUUGCCUAAUCUUUUCUCAUGAUCCACGUUGCAAUUUUCUUUGUGGCACAGCCUCCCCUCCAGCAGCACCACCUCUGUAGCAAUCCACUUUGCACUGCCCUCAAAAUGCAGCCAUAGCAAAGUUUGAUUGUUGCCUGAGGUAAUACAUUGGGCAAUGAAAAUUUUGCCUGUCCUGAGCACUUCAGCCUCAGAUCAGCAGUGUGUCAAAAAUAUUCACCUUUAUGGCUUCAUCUGACACCAGAUGUCUUGAACUGAGAAAUGGUCAGUGUUCUCACAUGGUCUGCAGGAUUUCAGUUGACACGAUGCAGCCCUGCCCUGCUCUCAGGUAGUGCCACCCCCCAUUUGCAGAAGCCAGGCCCAGCCCUGGUACCCAGCUGUGUCACAAACAGCUGCUACACAGUGUUGGAGGAGGCAACAGAAAUU